AAACCAACAGGGAUUGCCCCAGUAGCGGCGAGUGAAGCGGCAAGAGCUCAGAUUUGAAAUCGUGUUUCGGCACGAGUUGUAGAGUGUAGGCGGGAGUCUCUGUGGAGCGCGGUGUCCAAGUCCCUUGGAACAGGGUGCCUGAGAGGGUGAGAGCCCCGUGGGGUGCUGCGCGAAGCUUUGAGGCCCUGCUGACGAGUCGAGUUGUUUGGGAAUGCAGCUCUAAGCGGGUGGUAAAUUCCAUCUAAGGCUAAAUAUUGGCGAGAGACCGAUAGCGAACAAGUACUGUGAAGGAAAGAUGAAAAGCACUUUGAAAAGAGAGUGAAACAGCACGUGAAAUUGUUGAAAGGGAAGGGUAUUGGGCCCGACAUGGGGAGUGCGCACCGCUGUCUCUUGUAGGCGGCGCUCUGGGCGCUCUCUGGGCCAGCAUCGGUUCUUGCUGCGAGAGAAGUGGCGCCGGAAAGUGGCUCUUCGGAGUGUUAUAGCCGGUGCCGGAUGUCGCGUGCGGGGACCGAGGGCUGCGACAUCUGUCUCGGAUGCUGGCACAACGGCGCAAUACCGC
This 559-nucleotide ribosomal RNA is filed under the name Pichia deserticola. Its description in RNAcentral is "eukaryotic LSU rRNA". It matches the Rfam family "Eukaryotic large subunit ribosomal RNA", at positions 62 to 648 of the family's 3401-position model. RNAcentral also lists the same sequence under 1 other name. Lineage: Eukaryota; Fungi; Ascomycota; Pichiomycetes; Pichiales; Pichiaceae. The record is from RNAcentral.